RNAcentral lists this ribosomal RNA (430 nucleotides) under uncultured bacterium. Its description in RNAcentral is "bacterial SSU rRNA". It matches the Rfam family "Bacterial small subunit ribosomal RNA", at positions 355 to 775 of the family's 1533-position model. The record is from RNAcentral.
UGCGGAAUUUUAGAUAAUGGAGGGAACUCUGAUCUAGCGACGCCGCGUGCAGGAAUAAGGUCUUCGGAUUGUAAACUGCUGUGGUAAGGGAAAAAUGCUAUGUAGAGUGGAAAGCUACAUAGAGGGAUGGUACCUUACUAGAAAGCCCCGGCUAACUACGUGCCAGCAGCCGCGGUAAUACGUAGGGGGCGAGCGUUACCCGGAAUCACUGGGCGUAAAGGGAGCGUAGGUGGCCUAACAUGUCAACUGUGAAAACCCGGAGCUCAACUCCGGACUUGCAGUUGAAACCGGUAGGCUUGAGGACGGUAGAGGAAGACGGAACUGCCAGUGUAGGGGUAAAAUCCUUAGAUAUUGGCAGGAACGCCGGUGACGAGGGUGGUUUUCUGGGCCGGUUCUGACACUGAUGCUCGAAAGCCAGGGGAGCGAACGG